Oncorhynchus gorbuscha (pink salmon) is the source of this 851-nucleotide long non-coding RNA. RefSeq lists it as uncharacterized. The transcript has 3 exons. Lineage: Eukaryota; Metazoa; Chordata; Actinopteri; Salmoniformes; Salmonidae. The record is from RefSeq and is a predicted model, not a curated record.
UAGUUUACACAGACCCACCGCGGUCGCAUGUGAAAAGGAGUCCCAUAAGAUGGUCUGUUUUGUCAAUUUACUCAAUGUAUCUCACCACCCCGGUAUACAAAUCAUUAGUCCAGGUAAAGUCCCACUCACCUGUCUCAGGUCUUAAUUAAAGGCCAUGGUCCUCCAGUCCUAGAUAACUUCGGUUAGAGGGUUUUUAAAGGAGGAUACAAGGAAAGAAGGAGACAGUUUUGCAAUUAAGAAGAGUAACGUUAGUGACGUGGCUAUGUUGUUGUGACAAAUGAUAACGUUACUAACUAACCCAAACAACAAUAUACAUAUCCAUUUAACCACAUGGCUUGAAUUUGACAACAUUUUGAGGGACCAGACGAUCGGCUCCCUUGGUUUUGAUAACAGGCGCGAGGUGGACAUUGAUACUGAAGUUUAUAUCUGGUUUCAUUAGAUAGAAACGGCUGAAAUAGUAGGCUAGUCUGGAGGGGCUGUUCAUUCCAACAUAGAGCCGUAGCUGGCGUCGAAGCGGAGAAGCCCCAAGUCGUUGAGAGCCAGGAAACACUCCCCUGGGCCAUUGAGGAACGCCAGGCAGUGGAUCCUCGUCAUGGCCGCCCGGUCCAUCAAUACACCGUCCUUGAAAAAUAUAUCCUCUGAUUUUAGCAAAUGAGAGGUGGAGUGGCAAAAAGGAUCCCCAAGGGGCAUGCAAUAUAUACAAAUAUCAUUUUUAUGUGAAAGAUUUUAGGAAAAGACAUUCAUAGCCUAAAUAAUAAGGGUAUACAUUUCCAUCAAUGUGUUGUAUAAUAAGUAACAGCAAUUAAUAAAAUAGUUUUUAAUAACGCCUGAUUUUAAGAACCUGUAAUGUA